GCCCUAGUGGUGCAAACGGUAAAGCAUUUAGCUGCUAACCAAAAGGUUGGUGGUUUGAAUCCACCCAGCAGCU
Molecule: transfer RNA, 73 nt
Filed under: Loxodonta africana (African savanna elephant)
Lineage: Eukaryota; Metazoa; Chordata; Mammalia; Proboscidea; Elephantidae
Rfam family: tRNA
About the family: Transfer RNA (tRNA) molecules are approximately 80 nucleotides in length. Their secondary structure includes four short double-helical elements and three loops (D, anti-codon, and T loops).
Source: Rfam by way of RNAcentral